UACGUAGGUGGCAAGCGUUGUCCGGAUUUACUGGGUGUAAAGGGCGUGCAGCCGGGCUGACAAGUCAGAUGUGAAAUCCCGCGGCUCAACCGCGGAACUGCAUUUGAAACUGUCAGUCUUGAGUACCGGAGAGGUCAUCGGAAUUCCUAGUGUAGCGGUGGAAUGCGUAGAUAUUAGGAGGAACACCAGUGGCGAAGGCGAAUUGCUGGACUGUAACUGACACUGAGGCACGAAAGCGUGGGGAGCAAACAGG
RNAcentral lists this ribosomal RNA (253 nucleotides) under uncultured Oscillospira sp. Its description in RNAcentral is "partial 16S ribosomal RNA". It matches the Rfam family "Bacterial small subunit ribosomal RNA", at positions 524 to 776 of the family's 1533-position model. The record is from RNAcentral. Lineage: Bacteria; Bacillati; Bacillota; Clostridia; Eubacteriales; Oscillospiraceae.